RNAcentral lists this ribosomal RNA (903 nucleotides) under Triticum aestivum (bread wheat). RNAcentral's name for it is "partial small subunit ribosomal RNA". Lineage: Eukaryota; Viridiplantae; Streptophyta; Magnoliopsida; Poales; Poaceae. The record is from RNAcentral.
AUGUCCGGAGCGGGAGGUAAAUGGUUGGCCUCCACCGUUAAGGAGGAGCACAUUGCCAAACUACACAGCGCCGGAUACCUUUCCGGCGACAUUGCGCACCGGCUGCCCGACAAGGGGCAGAUCAUCCCCACCCCCAGGCCCCAUGAGAGGGUCGUAUUUCUCCCCCACUUCCUCCUCGGACUGGGCUUUCCUCUUCACCCCUUCGUCCGGGGGCUCAUGUUCUACUACGGCCUGGAUUUCCAUGAUCUGGCGCCAAACUUCAUCCUCAACAUCUCGGCAUUUAUCAUCGUGUGCGAGGCCUUCCUCUGCAUCCAGCCCUACUUCGGCUUGUGGCUCAAGACCUUCAAUGUCAAGCCGAAGGUAGUGAAGGGCACGCAGGCGGAGUGCGGAGGCGCCAUGUUGGGCAAGAUGCCCAACGUCCUCUGGUUCGAAGGGUCCUUCGUGGAGUCUGUCAAGGGGUGGCAGUCGGGGUGGUUCUACAUCACCGAGCCGCGCAACCCUAAGUGGGUGGCGGCCCCCGAGUUCACAUCUGGUAUCCCUGUGCAGCUCACCUCUUGGAAAGAGAAGGGCUUGCUAUGGGGUAGUUCGAAGGAGCUGACGGGACUCCAAGCCUGUAUCCAGAAGCUGGUGAACAAGAAGCUCAGGCUAGUUAAUGUGGUCCAAGUCAUGCUCGUCCGCCGGAUUCUCCCAUGCCAAGAACGGGCAUUCAACCUGUGGGAGUUUGAUCCGGCACAGCACCAGGCACUGAGCGGGCUCUUCGACACGACGUACGAAGGCGCCUCAAGGGUGCUGUUUAAGGGUGCCGAAGCCCCCGCAUCCGUGACGGAAGAUCGCGGAUUUCACUCGCAGCGUCCAGCUGAUGAGGUAAGUGAUUCUACCCCUUUACGGGACACUUGUUGUUAA